GCUUCAGUAGCUCAGUUGGUUAGAGCACCUGACUGUUAAUCAGGGGGUCGUUGGUUCAAGCCCAUCCUGAAGC
RNAcentral lists this transfer RNA (73 nucleotides) under Prevotella sp. RNAcentral describes it as "tRNA-Asn". It matches the Rfam family "tRNA". Rfam says of the family: Transfer RNA (tRNA) molecules are approximately 80 nucleotides in length. Their secondary structure includes four short double-helical elements and three loops (D, anti-codon, and T loops). Further hydrogen bonds mediate the characteristic L-shaped molecular structure. tRNAs have two regions of fundamental functional importance: the anti-codon, which is responsible for specific mRNA codon recognition, and the 3' end, to which the tRNAs corresponding amino acid is attached (by aminoacyl-tRNA synthetases). tRNAs cope with the degeneracy of the genetic code in two manners: having more than one tRNA (with a specific anti-codon) for a particular amino acid; and 'wobble' base-pairing, i.e. permitting non-standard base-pairing at the 3rd anti-codon position. RNAcentral also lists the same sequence under 7 other names. Lineage: Bacteria; Pseudomonadati; Bacteroidota; Bacteroidia; Bacteroidales; Prevotellaceae. The record is from RNAcentral.